Molecule: ribosomal RNA, 253 nt
Filed under: uncultured bacterium
Lineage: Bacteria
Description: partial 16S ribosomal RNA
Rfam family: Bacterial small subunit ribosomal RNA
Source: RNAcentral
UACGUAGGGUGCGAGCGUUGUCCGGAAUUACUGGGCGUAAAGCGUGCGCAGGCGGUUCGUUAAGUCAGCUGUGAAAGCCCGGGGCUCAACUCCGGAAUUGCCUUUAAGACUGCAUCGCUAGAAUUGUGGAGAGGUAAGUGGAAUUCCGAGUGUAGAGGUGAAAUUCGUAGAUAUUCGGAAGAACACCAGUGGCGAAGGCGACUUACUGGACACAUAUUGACGCUGAGGUGCGAAAGCGUGGGGAGCAAACAGG